This 572-nucleotide ribosomal RNA is filed under the name uncultured bacterium. RNAcentral's name for it is "bacterial SSU rRNA". It matches the Rfam family "Bacterial small subunit ribosomal RNA", at positions 88 to 692 of the family's 1533-position model. The record is from RNAcentral.
GUGCUGAGUGGCGGACGGGUGAGUAACGCGUGGGUACCUGCCUUAUACAGGGGGAUAACAGUUAGAAAUGACUGCUAAUACCGCAUAAGAUUGCAUGAUAAAAACUCCGGUGGUAUAAGAUGGACCCGCGUCUGAUUAGCUGGUUGGUGAGGUAACGGCCCACCAAGGCGACGAUCAGUAGCCGACCUGAGAGGGUGACCGGCCACAUUGGGACUGAGACACGGCCCAAACUCCUACGGGAGGCAGCAGUGGGGAAUAUUGCACAAUGGGGGAAACCCUGAUGCAGCGACGCCGCGUGAGCGAAGAAGUAUUUCGGUAUGUAAAGCUCUAUCAGCAGGGAAGAAAAAAAUGACGGUACCUGACUAAGAAGCCCCGGCUAACUACGUGCCAGCAGCCGCGGUAAUACGUAGGGGGCAAGCGUUAUCCGGAUUUACUGGGUGUAAAGGGAGCGCAGGCGGUGCGGCAAGUCUGAUGUGAAAGCCCGGGGCUCAACCCCGGGACUGCAUUGGAAACUGUCGUACUUGAGUAUCGGAGAGGUAAGUGGAAUUCCUAGUGUAGCGGUGAAAUGCGUA